GAAAGGGGGAGGUGGCCUUGUUGACAGAUGAGCUUCUCACAGAAAUGUCUUUAAUUUACAGAUGAUGUACGUGCCCAAAAUGACCCCCAGCCAGAGAGGCAGCGCUCGCAGGGAAGAAGAUGUCUUUGCUCCUGAAGCCUUCCCUUCAGGGGGAAGGGGCGGCAGCCGUGGGGACUGGAACAACCCCAGCUCUGACAAGAUGGAAUAAUCUGGUUUGGGCUGGAGAAUGCGAAGAGUCGAGAUUCAGAGAUCCAACGUGGGAAGAAAGAACCCGAUGAUGCUGUGUCCUUUUGUUUGUUUGUUUGUUUUGCUGCGAAAAACUGUUCUGCAGUGAAAGGAAGUCUUUCCCCAAACUCAGUUUCUACAGUGAUGGCAACUGGAUGAGCUCAUGAGAUGCCAAAUACACACUUGUCCAUCGACAACCCCUUCUGAUGUGCAGGAUCUCCCUGGGAGGACUCUCAGGCACCGAGUGCAACCGUGUCCAGGAUAUCUGUGCCAUCCCAUAAUGAUGCUAUUAAAAGCUCGUUAUUCCAUCUGUUUGCUCUGCGUUGCUCUCUGGUUGCUUGUAAUUUUCUGUAAUGGUCUCAGCUAAUUAUUGAUUGUUCAAACCAGCAAACUCCCUCGAUUCCUUUUUC
Molecule: long non-coding RNA, 635 nt
Organism: Empidonax traillii (willow flycatcher)
Lineage: Eukaryota; Metazoa; Chordata; Aves; Passeriformes; Tyrannidae
Exons: 3
Source: RefSeq, a predicted model, not a curated record